This 2573-nucleotide long non-coding RNA is filed under the name Junco hyemalis (dark-eyed junco). RNAcentral describes it as "lncRNA (ENSJHYG00000010939.1)". The stretch from base 2086 to 2146 matches the Rfam family "tRNA", at positions 7 to 64 of the family's 71-position model. The record is from RNAcentral. Lineage: Eukaryota; Metazoa; Chordata; Aves; Passeriformes; Passerellidae.
CUUGUAGCAGGAAUUAGUAUUUGAUACUCAGUAUUAGAGCAAAACCUCUGAAGUGCAGCACUCAGCAGCAGUGCCAACACUGUUCUGCAUGUACACAAAUGAGAAACCAAUUUUUCUGUGCUGUAAAUAGCUUGUGCAAUUAAUAGCAGUUAGCUUUUCCUGUCUUUUUCCAAUUACAGACUCAGGAAAAAAAGGGCAUAUUAAGUUACCUCAUGCAAUUCUGCAAUUCUGGACCACCUACUGCUAGAAGUGCAAUUUGAGAAUGAGAUGCUACUGCUAAUUAUCAAAAUUAAAACCUGAAAUAGCAACAUUCACUUUAAAAAGUGAGAUGAUUUCCUAUUGCAGGCAUAACUUUCCACUGCUCUCCCCUGCCAACAGUUAUCACUUUUGUAUGAGACUUCUGGACUGAAACCCUGAACACAGAAAUGCCAUCAUGCAGAAAACCUUUCAAAACAUUUCAGGUCACCAUUUUGGGUCUUUCAUAACAAAGCCAUUUAUUUACCCUUGGCUAAUUACCUUUUAGUCUCUCUGCACAGACACAAAAUAUUUGUGUUUCUAUUUUGUCUUUUCUUUUACAUUUUCAGACAGCUGCAGCCAUUUCCAAAAUCAUCAUAAUAUUUCCACCAUGAUGUUGGGAAAAAAAUUCCUCCUGGACAGCACCACUGUUAAUACAACAACAACAAAAUUACAUGUGUGUAUGCAUAUGCAUGUGCACACACACACACAUGUAGUGUGACCCGAAUAAAAAUGUGGUGAUGUCUAAUUUGACCUGAGAAAACCAGAACAGCACGUCGACAUAAACAGGAAAAGUUCGACAAUAUUUGCAGCACAGCAUCACCAAUCUCUCUUACCCUGCGCUGAACAAGCGUUUCCAAUUGAAAGAAAUAAUUAGCAUGCCAAAAAAAUUCAAAGCACUAGCAAAUACCAAAGCUUUAACUUGGCAUUAGCAAAGAUCAAUGGGAAUUCAUCACUGUAAGCCCACCACGAGCACUUGCUGCAUAUCCCCAGCCCAGCCAGGAUCACAUCCCCAGCACAGCACAGCCAGGAUCACAUCCCCAGUACCCCCAGGACCACCCAGCCCUCAGAGCUGCAGGGGCAGUGCCUGUGCCAGGCGCACUCCAGUGCCCAUCGCGCCCUGUGCACAGCUCCUGUCCCUCUGUCACAGCCUGGCGUGCCAUGUCACCUGCAAAGGGUCACCCAGGCCCCAUGGCAGCCAGGCCAGUUCCAUGUGACAGCCUGGCACGCUGUCAGCCCGGUUUGGCUGGACAGCAGCAGGCAGGGGGGACAAACAGCAGAUGGCUUUUCCUAUCUCCACAGCAAUUUAAUCGCAGUGUCCGUGACGCCACUGGCGUGCUCCACGCCACCUCCAGCGCCCUGCUGCAGGGUGAGCAAGCUGCUCUCCCCAAGGGCAGCCCUUGUGACCAGCCAGCAAGUGUCUGAAGUGCAGUCAGGACACAGCCAUGCUCACUCAACUCCAACUUCGUAACAGGAACAGAGCACGACACAUCUGACCAGCUCAGGCACAGAGGAAAAGUGCUUGUACUGCAGGAGAGUUAUGACACUGGAAAUCAGGGAUAUGGGAUGAGCCCAGACCCAUGCUGAGCUCCCCUGUAAAUGUAGGUGAGCUGGCCUGACAGCUUGGCAAACACCUCAAAUCAGGCUGCCCAAAAUAGAAACAAGUAAAGUUAGGUGCUGCUUUGAAAAUGUAUUUCUUGGCUUUCUCUUUAUGAACUGUAAAACCAGAUGAAAAUGCCUGCACACUGUCCCGGGCAAUGUGAGAGCUCCGCUAACAGAAGCACCUCAGAUAUUGAGAUGUCACCAGGCAGAGAUUUCAUUUAAGCAGGGGAGCAUUCUCCACCUAUGUAAUUAAUGCUGAUCUACAUUUGUGUGACCCAAAGCCAGGUUCCUCUGCACUAGAGGGGAUGUGGGGAUGACACAGCUGAUAUGCAGGCAAACCCUGCACAAAAGGAAGGCAAAGGCAGCAUCUAUGAUCUUAGUAAAGAACAAAGACUAUUAAGUGUGUUGUCUUUUCCCAGCCUUGACUGAAAUUAGGAAACAAGCAGAAAAAGUUUAAGCUGGUUGUGUUUUGCUAAGUUGGUGAGAGCAUGGUGUUGAUAACACCAAGGUUGUGGGUUCAAUCCCUGUAUGGGCCAUUCACGUAAGAACUGGAUUCAGUGAUCCUUGUGAGUCCCUUCCAACUCAGAACAUUCUGUGAAUCUGUGUUUUCAGCUCCUUAGCAAGACAAAAGUAAAAACCCCAAGGCACAGUAGUUGAUUUUAUAUUUCUUGAAGGGUAUACUAACAUCAGUUCCCCAGGCUAGACUACAAACUUGGGCUCUUUGACAUAUCCUGGGGACAUACACACAUGGAUGCAGCAGCAGCUAAAGAAAACAGCUGUAAUUAUUCCCAAACCUCUAUAAAUCACAACAGGGGAGCAGCUGGAAGCGGAGAUAGAGAGCCAAAGUUUGACAAAUGGAAAAGACAAAAUCAUUGGAAAAAACCUUUCUGGGAUGUGUAAGCAAGCUAAUGAAGAGUAGAAAUAAAUAAAGUAUUAUAGAUAGGGUAUAUAUAAAA